RNAcentral lists this ribosomal RNA (503 nucleotides) under uncultured bacterium. Its description in RNAcentral is "partial 16S ribosomal RNA". It matches the Rfam family "Bacterial small subunit ribosomal RNA", at positions 30 to 523 of the family's 1533-position model. The record is from RNAcentral.
AUUGAACGCUGGCGGCAGGCUUAACACAUGCAAGUCGAGCGGGGUGAUGGUGCUUGCACUAUCACUUAGCGGCGGACGGGUGAGUAAUGCUUAGGAAUCUGCCUAUUAGUGGGGGACAACAUCUCGAAAGGGAUGCUAAUACCGCGUACGUCCUACGGGAGAAAGCAGGGGAUCACUUGUGACCUUGCGCUAAUAGAUGAGCCUAAGUCGGAUUAGCUAGUUGGUGGGGUAAAGGCCUACCAAGGCGACGAUCGGUAGCGGGUCUGAGAGGAUGAUCCGCCACACUGGGACUGAGACACGGCCCAGACUCCUACGGGAGGCAGCAGUGGGGAAUAUUGGACAAUGGGGGGAACCCUGAUCCAGCCAUGCCGCGUGUGUGAAGAAGGCCUUAUGGUUGUAAAGCACUUUAAGCGAGGAGGAGGCUCUUUUGGUUAAUACCCAGAAUGAGUGGACGUUACUCGCAGAAUAAGCACCGGCUAACUCUGUGCCAGCCGCCGCCGUAA